Rattus rattus (black rat) is the source of this 703-nucleotide long non-coding RNA. RefSeq lists it as uncharacterized. The transcript has 3 exons. The record is from RefSeq and is a predicted model, not a curated record. NCBI's taxonomy places the organism in Eukaryota, Metazoa, Chordata, Mammalia, Rodentia, Muridae.
CAGCAACCCAGUGGAGCCAACCAAUGCAGCCAGACCCUCAGCACCAUCCCCCUAGACCUACACCAGGAACUACAGACCAGGAGACCAGAACAUUCUUAGGGGCAUACCAGGAAUUCCUGACAAGGCUGGAAUCAGCUCCCCGGUCUCUCUGGGUCUUAGAAAGGUCUGGAGCCUCUUUCUCAUCCCCCUGAUUGAGCAAGGCCUGUUCCUUGGGGAUAACAGAAGGGCACGCUAACAAAACUUACUGAGAAGUCACAGAACGGCUCUCUGCAGCAGGAACAGUUUUGAAAAAGAGUUGCUCUGCUGUGGUAUUUCCCCUCCCCUCCCCGCUCCAGUGGCUAACACACCAGUGUCAGAGUGCCUCCUGACUACCAUCAGUCCUCUGGGGAGGGUAGAUGCGAAUGCCCUGACCUCUGCUCCAGGUAAUAUAACUGUCCUUGUCCCAGCAGGAAUGGAGAGAUUCUAAAAGACACGCGUGUCCCUCCCUUUGACUAUCAGAUUUUGAAACAAUGAAUUCCAAGGAAUUGGAAUUUCUCCAGGAAUCUUAUGCUGGAAGAGAGUCAUGGCGCCAGCUGGUGAGGAAAGAGACUUCACAGUUCAGUCCGGCCGGCUGGAGAGACUUGGAGAAGAGACAACAGACCACACCUUGACUGGACUGCUUAGCUAUGCACACUGAUUUAAAACAGCAGCUGGAGGAGGGCAA